UUGUAAUAUUGUUGACUGACUAAU
Molecule: non-coding RNA, 24 nt
Filed under: Cricetulus griseus (Chinese hamster)
Lineage: Eukaryota; Metazoa; Chordata; Mammalia; Rodentia; Cricetidae
Source: RNAcentral